RNAcentral lists this ribosomal RNA (407 nucleotides) under Dehalococcoidia bacterium. RNAcentral's name for it is "bacterial LSU rRNA". It matches the Rfam family "Bacterial large subunit ribosomal RNA", at positions 2521 to 2925 of the family's 2925-position model. The record is from RNAcentral. Lineage: Bacteria; Bacillati; Chloroflexota; Dehalococcoidia.
GCACCUCGAUGUCGGCUCGUCGCAUCCUGAGGCUGAAGAAGGUCCCAAGGGUCCGGCUGUUCGCCGGUUAAAGCGGCACGCGAGCUGGGUUCAGACCGUCGUGAGACAGGUCGGUCUCUAUCCGCUGUGGGCGUAGGAAGUUUGAGAGGAGCUUUCCCUAGUACGAGAGGACCGGGAAGGACGUACCUCUGGUGUUCCGGUUGUCCCGCCAGGGGCACCGCCGGGUAGCUAUGUACGGAACGGAUAAGCGCUGAAAGCAUCUAAGUGCGAAGCCGGCCUCAAGAUGAGACUUCCCAUCCGAAAGGAGUAAGGUCGCAGAGAGACUAUCUGCUUGAUAGGCCGCAAGUGUAAGUCCAGCAAUGGAUUCAGCUAAGCGGUACUAAUCGACCGAGGGCUUGACCAUAAAA